Molecule: ribosomal RNA, 450 nt
Filed under: uncultured bacterium
Lineage: Bacteria
Description: partial 16S ribosomal RNA
Rfam family: Bacterial small subunit ribosomal RNA
Source: RNAcentral
GUGGGGAAUUUUGGACAAUGGGCGCAAGCCUGAUCCAGCAAUGCCGCGUGCAGGAAGAAGGCCUUCGGGUUGUAAACUGCUUUUGUACGGAACGAAACGGUCCUGGUUAAUACCUGAGGCUAAUGACGGUACCGUAAGAAUAAGCACCGGCUAACUACGUGCCAGCAGCCGCGGUAAUACGUAGGGUGCGAGCGUUAAUCGGAAUUACUGGGCGUAAAGCGUGCGCAGGCGGUGCUGUAAGACAGGCGUGAAAUCCCCGGGCUCAACCUGGGAAUUGCGCUUGUGACUGCAGUGCUGGAGUACGGCAGAGGGGGAUGGAAUUCCGCGUGUAGCAGUGAAAUGCGUAGAUAUGCGGAGGAACACCGAUGGCGAAGGCAGUCCCCUGGGCCUGUACUGACGCUCAUGCACGAAAGCGUGGGGAGCAAACAGGAUUAGAUACCCCGGUAGUCC